Molecule: ribosomal RNA, 469 nt
Filed under: Veillonella parvula
Lineage: Bacteria; Bacillati; Bacillota; Negativicutes; Veillonellales; Veillonellaceae
Description: bacterial SSU rRNA
Rfam family: Bacterial small subunit ribosomal RNA
Source: RNAcentral
GACGAACGCUGGCGGCGUGCUUAACACAUGCAAGUCGAACGAAGAGCGAUGGAAGCUUGCUUCUAUCAAUCUUAGUGGCGAACGGGUGAGUAACGCGUAAUCAACCUGCCCUUCAGAGGGGGACAACAGUUGGAAACGACUGCUAAUACCGCAUACGAUUUAACCUCGGCAUCGAGGAAAGAUGAAAGGUGGCCUCUAUUUAUAAGCUAUCACUGAAGGAGGGGAUUGCGUCUGAUUAGCUAGUUGGAGGGGUAACGGCCCACCAAGGCGAUGAUCAGUAGCCGGUCUGAGAGGAUGAACGGCCACAUUGGGACUGAGACACGGCCCAGACUCCUACGGGAGGCAGCAGUGGGGAAUCUUCCGCAAUGGACGAAAGUCUGACGGAGCAACGCCGCGUGAGUGAUGACGGCCUUCGGGUUGUAAAGCUCUGUUAAUCGGGACGAAAGGCCUUCUUGCGAACAGUUAGAAG